GAUUACCCCCUAGUUGUGGAGGAGGAUGAUCCAGAUUGGCCUGAAGAUGCUGAUGGGUGGGGAUUCAACUUGGGUCAGUUCUUCAACAAAAUAACUAUCAAGAAUGUCAAGAAGGAUGUUGAUGAUGAGAACUACGAUAGUGAAAAUGAAAUAGUUUGGCAAGACGAUAAUUACAUUCGUCCAAUCAAAGACAUCACUACGACACAAUGGGAGGAGACAGUGUUCAAAGACAUCAGUCCUUUGAUCGUACUUGUACAUAAUCGAUAUAAAAGAUCAAAGGAAAAUGAAAAGAUUCGAGAUGAACUGGAGAAGGCUGUACACAUCAUAUGGAACUGCAGGCUACCUUCACCAAGAUGUGUUGCAAUUGAUGCUGUUGUUGAGACUGAUUUGGUCUGUGCUCUAAAAGUGUCCAUCUUCCCAGAAAUUAUUUUCACUAAAGCUGGAAAGAUCUUGUAUCGUGAGAAAGCUAUGCGAACUGCAGACGAGUUUUCAAAAAUAAUGGCGUACUUCUAUUAUGGAGCUGGCAAGCCACCUUGUUUGAAUGACAUUGAAGAUAGCCAGGAAUUGAUCCCAUCUGUUUCCCUAGCAGAUAAAAAUGCUAAAAUUAUUGAUGUACAGCCACUUCAAUAGGAGUAAAAGUUUCCAAGAUUAGUGAUGGUCUUCCAUGUGUUGUUGUUCCUGUUAUAAAUGUAAUCAUUUAACUCCUGUGCAAGAGCCGUAAGAUCAUAAAUAUUUUGUUCUUCUUUUGUAAGAUAAAGUGUGGAGCUAUCUGCCA
RNAcentral lists this unclassified non-coding RNA (775 nucleotides) under Hevea brasiliensis (rubber tree). The record is from RNAcentral. Lineage: Eukaryota; Viridiplantae; Streptophyta; Magnoliopsida; Malpighiales; Euphorbiaceae.